GGGCGUUUGGCGCAGUUGGCAGCGCGCAUGCUUAGCAACAAUGAGCUAAUAUGCAUGAGGUCAUGGGUUCGAUUCCCAUAAUGUCCA
RNAcentral lists this transfer RNA (87 nucleotides) under Seminavis robusta. It matches the Rfam family "tRNA". From Rfam's summary of the family: Transfer RNA (tRNA) molecules are approximately 80 nucleotides in length. Lineage: Eukaryota; Bacillariophyta; Bacillariophyceae; Naviculales; Naviculaceae. The record is from Rfam by way of RNAcentral.